CAGAGCCGUAGAAGAGGAGAUGAGAGCUGAAGACGUUUCAUUGCUACAAAACUACAAGGCCACAGUGAAAAGAGCCCAGAGCACACUGCAGCAUCCAGAGGAGCUUUCAGGAGCACUGAUCCAUGUGGCAAAACAUCUGGCCAACCUGCAGUUCAGAGUCUGGGAGAA
Molecule: long non-coding RNA, 168 nt
Organism: Neoarius graeffei (lesser salmon catfish)
Lineage: Eukaryota; Metazoa; Chordata; Actinopteri; Siluriformes; Ariidae
Exons: 3
Source: RefSeq, a predicted model, not a curated record